GUGCCAGCAGCCGCGGUAAGACGGAGGAUGCAAGUGUUAUCCGGAAUCACUGGGCGUAAAGCGUCUGUAGGUGGCUCGACAAGUCAACUGUUAAAUCUUGAAGCUCAACUUCAAAAUCGCAGUCGAAACUAUCGGACUAGAGUAUAGUAGAGGUAAAGGGAAUUUCCAGUGGAGCGGUGAAAUGCGUAGAGAUUGGAAAGAACACCGAUGGCGAAGGCACUUUACUGGGCUAUUACUGACACUCAGAGACGAAAGCUAGGGUAGCAAAUGGGAUUAGAUACCCCAGUAGUCCUAGCCGUAAACAAUGGAUACUAGGUGUUGAACAGAUCGACCUGUGCAGUACCAAAGCUAACGCGUUAAGUAUCCCGCCUGGGAAGUAUGCACGCAAGUGUGAAACUCAAAUGAAUUGACGGGG
RNAcentral lists this ribosomal RNA (415 nucleotides) under uncultured prokaryote. RNAcentral's name for it is "bacterial SSU rRNA". It matches the Rfam family "Bacterial small subunit ribosomal RNA", at positions 505 to 918 of the family's 1533-position model. The record is from RNAcentral.